This 2937-nucleotide ribosomal RNA is filed under the name Photorhabdus sp. S8-52. RNAcentral describes it as "bacterial LSU rRNA". It matches the Rfam family "Bacterial large subunit ribosomal RNA". Lineage: Bacteria; Pseudomonadati; Pseudomonadota; Gammaproteobacteria; Enterobacterales; Morganellaceae. The record is from RNAcentral. RNAcentral also lists the same sequence under 2 other names.
GGGUUGUGAGGUUAAGCAAUUAAGCGUACACGGUGGAUGCCUAGGCAGUCAGAGGCGAUGAAGGACGUGCUAAUCUGCGAAAAGCGUCGGUAAGCUGAUAUGAAGCGUGAUAGCCGGCGAUGUCCGAAUGGGGAAACCCAGUGCAAUGCGUUGCACUAUCAUUAACUGAAUCCAUAGGUUAAUGAGGCGAACCGGGGGAACUGAAACAUCUCAGUACCCCGAGGAAAAGAAAUCAACCGAGAUUCCCCCAGUAGCGGCGAGCGAACGGGGAGGAGCCCAGAACCAGCAUCAGCCAGGGCAUCAGAGGAACGGUCUGGAAAGGCCGGCGAGAGAGGGUGAUAGCCCCGUACUCGAAGAUGACCGGGUUGUGAGUUCGAUGAGUAAGGCGGGACACGAGAAAUCCUGUCUGAAGAGGGGGGGACCAUCCUCCAAGGCUAAAUACUCCUGACUGACCGAUAGUGAACCAGUACCGUGAGGGAAAGGCGAAAAGAACCCCGGCGAGGGGAGUGAAAGAGAACCUGAAACCGUGUACGUACAAGCAGUGGGAGCCUUGAUUUAUCAGGGUGACUGCGUACCUUUUGUAUAAUGGGUCAGCGACUUAUAUUCUGUAGCGAGGUUAACCGGAUAGGGGAGCCGCAGGGAAACCGAGUCUUAACUGGGCGAAUGAGUUGCAGGGUAUAGACCCGAAACCCGGUGAGCUAGCCAUGGGCAGGUUGAAGGUUGGGUAACACUAACUGGAGGACCGAACCGACUAAUGUUGAAAAAUUAGCGGAUGACUUGUGGCUGGGGGUGAAAGGCCAAUCAAACCGGGAGAUAGCUGGUUCUCCCCGAAAGCUAUUUAGGUAGCGCCUCGUGAAUUCAUCUUCGGGGGUAGAGCACUGUUUCGGCUAGGGGGCCAUCCCGGCUUACCAACCCGAUGCAAACUGCGAAUACCGAAGAAUGGUAUCACGGGAGACACACGGCGGGUGCUAACGUCCGUCGUGAAGAGGGAAACAACCCAGACCGCCAGCUAAGGUCCCGAAGUCAUGGUUAAGUGGGAAACGAUGUGGGAAGGCCCAGACAGCCAGGAUGUUGGCUUAGAAGCAGCCAUCAUUGAAAGAAAGCGUAAUAGCUCACUGGUCGAGUCGGCCUGCGCGGAAGAUGUAACGGGGCUAAACCAUGCGCCGAAGCUGCGGCAGUGACGUUGAGGCGUUGCUGGGUAGGGGAGCGUUCUGUAAGCUGUUGAAGGCGGCGCCGUGAGGCCUGCUGGAGGUAUCAGAAGUGCGAAUGCUGACAUAAGUAACGAUAAAGCGGGUGAAAAACCCGCUCGCCGGAAGACCAAGGGUUCCUGUCCAACGUUAAUCGGGGCAGGGUGAGUCGACCCCUAAGGUGAGGCCGAAGGGCGUAGCUGAUGGGAAACAGGUUAAUAUUCCUGUACUGAAUGUGACUGCGAAGGGGGGACGGAGAAGGCUAGGCCAUCCGGGCGACGGUCGUCCCGGUUUAAGCGUGUAGGUGGGAGGAGCAGGUAAAUCCGCUCUUCUGUGAACACUGAGGCGUGAUGACGAGCCGCUACGGCGGUGAAGUGGUUGAUGCCCGGCUUCCAGGAAAAGCCUCUAAGCGCCAGGUCACAUUGAAUCGUACCCCAAACCGACACAGGUGGUCAGGUAGAGAAUACUCAGGCGCUUGAGAGAACUCGGGUGAAGGAACUAGGCAAAAUGGUGCCGUAACUUCGGGAGAAGGCACGCUGGCGUUAGGUGAAGGGAGAGACGCCCGGAGCCGAAGCCAGUCGCAGAGACCAGCUGGCUGCAACUGUUUAUUAAAAACACAGCACUGUGCAAACACGUAAGUGGACGUAUACGGUGUGACGCCUGCCCGGUGCUGGAAGGUUAAUUGAUGGGGUUAGCCGCAAGGCGAGGCUCUUGAUAGAAGCCCCAGUAAACGGCGGCCGUAACUAUAACGGUCCUAAGGUAGCGAAAUUCCUUGUCGGGUAAGUUCCGACCUGCACGAAUGGCGUAAUGAUGGCCAGGCUGUCUCCACCCGAGACUCAGUGAAAUUGAACUCGCUGUGAAGAUGCAGUGUACCCGCGGCAAGACGGAAAGACCCCGUGAACCUUUACUAUAGCUUGACACUGAACAUGGAGCCUUGAUGUGUAGGAUAGGUGGGAGGCUGAGAAGCGCGGACGCCAGUCUGCGCGGAGCCAUCCUUGAAAUACCACCCUUGAAUGUUCGAUGUUCUCACUUAGGCCCGUGAACCGGGCUGAGGACAGUGUCUGGCGGGUAGUUUGACUGGGGCGGUCUCCUCCCAAAGCGUAACGGAGGAGCGCGAAGGUUGGCUAAUCACGGUCGGACAUCGUGAGGUUAGCGCAAAGGCAUAAGCCAGCUUAACUGCGAGAGUGACGGCUCGAGCAGGUACGAAAGUAGGUCUUAGUGAUCCGGUGGUUCUGCAUGGAAGGGCCAUCGCUCAACGGAUAAAAGGUACUCCGGGGAUAACAGGCUGAUACCGCCCAAGAGUUCAUAUCGACGGCGGUGUUUGGCACCUCGAUGUCGGCUCAUCACAUCCUGGGGCUGAAGUAGGUCCCAAGGGUAUGGCUGUUCGCCAUUUAAAGUGGUACGCGAGCUGGGUUUAGAACGUCGUGAGACAGUUCGGUCCCUAUCUGCCGUGGGCGCAGGAAGAUUGAAAGGGGCUGCUCCUAGUACGAGAGGACCGGAGUGGACGCACCGCUGGUGUACGGGUUGUCAUGCCAAUGGCAUCGCCCGGUAGCUAAGUGCGGGAGAGAUAACCGCUGAAAGCAUCUAAGCGGGAAACUUGCCUUGAGAUGAGUCUUCCCUUGACUUGAGGUCACGGAAGGAACGUUUAAGACGAAGACGUGGAUAGGCUGGGUGUGUAAGUGCAGCGAUGCAUUGAGCUGACCAGUACUAAUGAACCGAGAGGCUUAACCUUACAACGCCGAAGGUGUUU